AUUGAACGCUGGCGGCAUGCUUUACACAUGCAAGUCGAACGGCAGCGCGGGGGCAACCCUGGCGGCGAGUGGCGAACGGGUGAGUAAUGUAUCGGAACGUAUCCUGUAAUGGGGGAUAACCAGUCGAAAGAUUGGGUAAUACCGCAUACGCACGAGAGUGGAAAGUAGGGGAUCGCAAGACCUUACGUUAUAGGAGCGGCCGAUAUCUGAUUAGCUAGUUGGUGGGGUAAAGGCCUACCAAGGCGACGAUCAGUAGCUGGUCUGAGAGGAUGAUCAGCCACACUGGGACUGAGACACGGCCCAGACUCCUACGGGAGGCAGCAGUGGGAAUUUUGGACAAUGGGCGAAAGCCUGAUCCAGCCAUGCCGCGUGCGGGAAGAAGGCC
This 385-nucleotide ribosomal RNA is filed under the name uncultured bacterium. Its description in RNAcentral is "bacterial SSU rRNA". It matches the Rfam family "Bacterial small subunit ribosomal RNA", at positions 30 to 416 of the family's 1533-position model. The record is from RNAcentral.